AUUUGCGGCAAAUAAAAGUGACCAUUUUUAUAGUUUACUUUUUUUUGAAUUUUAGAGUUUAGGUUCAUUUUGUGAACUCUUUCUUGGAAUCUUCGUGGAGAGAACAUUUAUCAUCCCCCAAUUUCCACACCUACGAGCUUGAGGGCAAUGAGGUUGUUGUUUUGGGAGGUUCAAAGGUGAGGGGGAGCUGUUUGGGAUGGCGGUCGGUAAUGGAAGAUGAGAGUGAUGAAGCCCGGGUGUACUGGUGAUGUUGGUGGUGAAGAUGGGAGCCUCGAGUGAUAGAGAGAGAAUGGUGAAAAGGCCCCUGGGUUAGCUCAGAGAUGAAAUUUGCUGCUAUUGCUGCCUCUAAUUUCCACCCCUAUGCUCAUAUACUUGCUUUUCUAGUUUCUUUGUGGGUAUUGGACGAUAUAUUUUCUGAUUUUUAACACCAGAUUGAGAUAUUCUUCUCCUUUCAUACAUACUCAUGUUGUCCUUACCUUCAACUUCUUCCUCCAUUUCUAAAAAGAAAUAUGAUGUUUUCUUGAGUUUUAGUGGUGAAGAUACUCGCAACAACUUCACAGAUCAUGUUUAUGAUGCUACAACUAAUAGAAAAGUCAACAAUAUUAAUUAUAUGUCUAACUAAUAACAUUAUAAAAAUAUAUGAUUAAAUUAGGUUAGAAAUUAAAUCUUAAAUUUAGGCAUAAUUAAAAAAAAAAACUAAAAUUGAAAUUCUAACAUUUUCUUAUAAUGUAAAAGAAACAAUAUCCUAUACAUUAAAUUAAUAAAUUGUAUUCAUACAUAAAAUUUUAUGAUACUGAGUAGAUAUAAGUUAUUUUAGUCUGCACCUAAUGAACAUUUUAGAUGCUUCAAAUAGAACUUAAUCAUAUAAAAGGCAAAAUGUGAGGGACCGAAUUUAAAAUAACGCAUUGUCCUCCCUGACAGGUGUCUCCAAAUACUUCUUUAAUAUAUAGUUAUAUAGACAAUUAUAUGAUUAUGUAAAUGAAAGUAAAAGACAAACCGUCCAACACUCUACUUAUUACUUAGAAUUAUUGUAGGCUCCAUUUUGUCUACACCCACCUUCUUGGAUUCUUCCUGGAAAGAACAUGCAUCACCCAAUGUCCACACCUACUCGUAUUCAUUUCGAAAAUGAAAAGGUUAAAAAGAUUAAAAGAAAUUGCUUAGAAACUUCCUUUAUUCUUCCCUGAAAUUUUCAUCUGUUUUUCUCAAUCUUCACUUUCAUAUACUUACUGUUUCUAAUUUCUUUCUGGCGUAUUGAGCGAUCAAUUUUCUGAUUUUGAACACUACAUCCACAUAUGUAUUUUUCUUCUCAAACAUCGUCAUGUUGUCAUUACCUUCAUCUUCCUCAUACAUUUCUAGAAAGAAAUAUGAUGUUUUCUUGAGUUUUAGAGGUGAAGAUACUCGCAAAAACUUCACCGAUCAUCUCUAUGCUGCUCUAAAGAGGAGUGGGAUCGUCACUUUCAGGGAUGAUCCCAAGCUGGAGGCCGGUGAAGAGAUCGCGCCAGAACUCUUUAAAGCAAUUCAGCAAUCAUGGUGCUCGGUAAUUGUUUUUUCAGAAACUUAUGCCUUUUCAAGUUGGUGCUUGGAGGAGCUUGCUGAGAUUGUUCAACAACAUAACAACGACGGCCAUAAAGUGUUUCCAAUUUUUUACGAUGUUGAUCCAUCUGAUUUAAGAAAACAAAAAGGGAAAGUGGAAGAAGCCUUUGCCAGACAUGAAGAGAGAUACAAAGAAGAAAGUGAGAAGAUCCAAAGGUGGCGAAAUGCUUUAAUUCAAGUGGCUGCAAUCAAGGGAUGGCAUUUAAAUAACAGGUAAUUCUUUCUUUUCUUCUCUAUUUUCUAGUUUUUUGGAUAUAUAUAUAUAUAUAUAUAUAUGUAUGUGUAACUAUUUUUUUUUUCCUAAUCCUAUGUGUUUAAUUGAAAAGUGUCAUAUUUAGCAAAUUUUGUCUUCUGGCUCCGCAACAGAUCUUGCUUUCUUAUUCUUGGUUCUUGUUUGCUUCCAAACUAUAUUAUGUUUCAUGAUUCAUUGAAAAGAAAAGUGCAUUCGAAACAUAUCAACAAAAUUUUACUCAAAACAUUAAAAUUUCUUUUUUUUAGGCAUGAAUCAGAAAUUAUUAGAGACAUUGUUAAGAAGAUAUCAGCAAAACCAUGUCAGACAUAUCCAGUUACUCAUAGCGACUUGGUUGGUAUUAGUGAACGCUUGGAGGAUUUGUAUUUGAAAAUAAACAUUGGGGAAGAUGAUGUCCGCGUUAUAGGAAUUUGCGGAAUGGGUGGCAUCGGUAAAACGACACUCGCAAGAGUUGCUUACACUCAAAUGUCACCUCAUUUUGAAGGUAAAAGCUUUAUUUCUGAUAUUCGAGAAGUUUCAGACAAAUGCGGACUAGUUUCUUUACAGAAACAACUUCUUUCACAGAUCUUUCAUGGUGAAUGCUUCAACUUUUUCGAUGUUCAUGAAGGGAGUGACAUAAUUAGCCAUAGGUUGUCUCACAAAAAGGUUCUUGUUGUUCUUGAUAAUGUUGAUAACAUACAACACUUAAAAUGCUUGGUAGGAAGGCACGAUUGGUUCGGAUUAGGAAGUAGAAUCGUUGUAACAACAAGAGAAGAACAUUUGCUUCGGUCUUGGCCAGUUGAUGAUAUGUAUGAGCCCAAAACAUUGAAUCCCAAAGAUGCACUUCAACUUUUCAGUCUGAAAGCUUUUCAUAGUGAUACAGUGCAGAAAGAUGAUUUCAUUGAGCUUUCUGAACAUGUUGUAAAUUAUGCUGGUGGACUCCCUUUAGCUCUUGAAGUUUUGGGCUCCUUUUUGUGCGGUAGAGAUGCGACUCAAUGGAGAAGUGCGAUUGAAAGACUUAAAAGAGAUUCUGAUAAAGAAAUUCUCAAUAAACUUCGAAUCAGUUUUGAUGGACUGGAAGAAAGGGAGAAGGAUAUAUUUUUAGAUAUAGCAUGCUUCUUCAAUGGGGAGAGGAAAGAUUUUGUAAUAAAAGUAUUAGAUGGUUGUGAGUUUUUUCCUGAUAUCGGAAUUGAUGUUCUCAUUAAAAAAUCUCUCGUAAAAGUCGAUAAAUACAACAGAUAUUUGAAGAUGCAUGAAUUGUUGCAAGAAAUGGGAAGAACAAUUGUUAAAGAAAAAUGUGUUGAUGAACCUGGAAAACGUUGCAGAUUGUGGGAGGAAAGGGACGUCCAUCAUGUCCUAACAAAAUACACUGUAAGUCAUUCAAUAAAAGUUACAUACUAUUUCUUUUUUAUCCUACAUUAUUCACCAUUUAUUUUAUUUUCUUAUUGUCUGUUGUUGAUCUUUUUUAGGCUACAGAAAUGAUUAAAGGCAUAAUAUCGAUAAUAAAAGGUAAGAAGAUACACAUAAACUUAUAUCUAUGUGUACUGUAAAUAAUUAUUAUUUUUAAAUAUGAUAAAAAAAAUAUAGCAAAACUUUUGACAUUCAAUAUUUCAAUGUUUAAUUAUGAAAUUUAUCUAGCAACAUAUUUACUCUUUCAAAAGAAUCAAAAGAGAAAUGUAUGUAUUUUUGAAAUAUUAAUGGUAUAUUUUUUUGUGAAAAUUAAUGGUAUAUAUUUAAUGUACUAAAAGUGUAUAUCAACGAAUUAGAUUAUAACAUGUCAUCGAAAUUUUUUUAAUGAAAAUAGUUUCAUUUUUAAUUAUGUGUCAUUGUUUGGUUCAUUAACUUGUAAAUUAUGCUUUGUUUGCGGACCGAAUAUAAAUCAACAUAUUAAUUCAAUUUUUUAGGAUUAGGUAAUUUAACAUCGGAUGGGAUUAUUAGAUAUAAGUAUCUCUUUAAUAUGGCUAUGUUAAAAAAAUAUAUUUAAAAAUUGUUUUUAUUCACAUAUUUAAAAGGUUCUUAAAGGAUCAUAUCUUAAUACCCAUAUACGAAUAUGCAUUAGAUAUAAGUAUUGGAUACGAGUACUUAAAAAACAAUAUUGAUGUAACAUUUCUUUUAGAUAUUGAAUGUUUUUGUAUAUUUUGAAGCUCAUUUUUGUUUUGCUCAUGGAUAUUAGGGAAUCGAACAAGAUACUCAAUUUGAGUGUGGAUACCUUCUUGAAGAUGAAAAAAUUGAGAUUGCUUAAAGUGCUUUGCCUUUCAAAUUGUGAUGAUGAUCUCAAAUAUCUUUCUAAUGACCUACGACUUUUAGAUUGGACAGGAUACCCUUUAAGAAACUUGCCUUCAAGCUUUCAACCGGAUAACCUUGUCGCACUUCUUUUACCAUAUAGUCACAUUCAACAACUAUGGAAGGGAAAUAGAGUAAGAAUUAACUCAUCUUAUCCUUGUGUUUUAGCUUAUUUUAAUAUAAAUUAUUAAACUUUGAUUAAGGUAAAACAAAAAAACAAAAAUGAGCAUUAUUAUGUUUUCUCAUUUGUUUCUAAUUUAUUAUGGUCUUCAACAGCCCUUGUUUAACUUGAAAAUAAUGAACCUCAGAGGGUCUCAAAACCUGAUCAAGACACCAGACUUCACAACAGCAUCAAAUCUUGAGGUUUUGAUUUUGGAAGGUUGUACCAAAUUAGUGGAUGUUCAUCCAUCAAUCGGGGUGCUUAGGAGCCUUAAACUUUUGAAUUUAAGAGAUUGCAAAAGUCUUAGGACUCUUCCAACCAAAACUGGAAUGGAAUCUCUUGAAACAUUAAUUCUUUCGGGUUGCUCAAAUCUUGUAAGGUUUCCGGAUGUUGAAGGGAAAAUGGAACGCCUAAAAACUCUAGAUCUUUCCGGUUGUUAUAGAGUGGAAAAUUUAUCGGAGAAUUUGCAGCAAGCAAAGUUUUUGGAAGAGCUCGACUUGAGUGAAACAGCCAUAACAGAACCACCAUCCUUCAUUUUUCAAUUUAAAAAUCUUAAAGUUCUGUCUUUCAAUGGGCGCAAGGGACCAUCAUAUAAGUUACUACCAAAUUUGCCUUCUCUUGUCAAGGUAAUCCAAGGAAGAAGGACGAAUCCCAUGGCUCGGAUGUUGCCUUUGUUGUCAGGUUUGAGUUCAUUAAGAGAGUUGAAUCUAAGGGACUGCAAUCUUUGUGAAGGAGAUAUUCCACCUGAUAUUUCUGGUCUAUCCUGUUUGGAAGAACUUGAACUUAGCGGUAACAAUUUCAUCAGCAUACCUGCAUCUCUUACUCGACUCUCCAAGCUUAAAGAGCUUAUAUUGUCAAAUUGCAACAUGUGCACUCUUGGUGAAGCAGAUAUUCGUAGUGAUCUUUCUGGUCUAUACUCUUUGCUACGUCUUGAUCUUAGUGGUAAGAAUUUCAUCACCCUUCCUUUGGCUCUUACUCAACUUUCCAGGCUCAAAUUGCUUAAAUUGUCAGGUUGCAAGAUGCUUAAAUCAUUGCCUGAGCUACCAACAAGUAUAAGAUAUAUGAUAAUAGAUGAUUGUUCUUCACUUGAAGUAGUUGCAAGUCCAUCAAAAGUAUGCAAUUUAGCGGGUGGUGAUGAAAUUAGUGCCAUUAACUGCUUCAAAUUGGCUGAGAAAAUCAAUGCAUUAACACUGCUGAAAGAACAUAUUAAGGUCAAUUAAUCUAUUUUUUCUCCCUUAGAAAAUCUCAUACUUGAGAAUUUAUGGUUUUAGUUACCAAACGACUUGUGUUUAAUUUUGCAGGCGGUUCGAUAUCCAAGAGAUUGUUUUCAUAGUAGCAUCGUUGAUAUUAUGAUGCCCGGAAGUGAAAUCCCAGAAUGGUUUAGCCAACAAAAAAGUGACUCUUCAAUUAAGAUACCCCUACCUAUCAACCUUCGGAAAGAUAGUCAAUGGAUUGGAGUUGCUUGUUGCUGCAUUUUUGUCGAUAAUGGUGCUUCAAGGAAUAAGAUGCUUUACUGUGAUGGAUCUAUUUUUCGAGGUAGAAAUUGUCGACGAAUUUUUUGGAGCCUCGGGUGGGUAGGUCGAAGCUUUCACAAGCUCAUAAUGAAAGAUCACCUUUUUCUUCGUUAUUUUCUGCGUGAUGAAUUAUAUCCAAUUUCCUUGGAGGAUAAAUAUGGUGACUGUGAAACCAAUAAUUUAUGGACAGCAGAUUGCUUAGAUCAAACAGGCGAUAAGCUUCAGUUGUGUUUCAAUUCCAAAUUUGAACCAAAUGACCGUUGUGUUAAGGUGAAGAAGUGUGGUGUUAGAAUAGUGUAUGAGAAAGAUUUGGAAGAAAUGAAAGAGUUGCAGUGCCAUACCACUCAAUCUUCUCCAAAUUUUGAACACAUCCACCAACACUCUGCUCAAAACCAUGGAUCAGUAGGUAGCACUUCUCACAUGAAACGAAAAAUCAAGAGAGAAGCAUUAACUGUGGUAAACUACUUAACCAACUUUGUCCUAUUAAUUUUUUUUUUACACAUCUUGUAUUUCAUUUGAACAAUUAUUCUAGACUUGUUUUGCAUAUGCGAUAUGAUCCUUCCAUUAUAUGCCAAAACAUUUUAAAAUUUUAGCUACUUAUUUUUAUUGGAGAUCAACUUAUGUAUUCAAUUUAAUCAAUCAAAACUGUUUUUAUAUAUUUAGAAGAUUAAUUAUAAAUAGUUAAUAGUACUUAAAUAGAUUUAAUUCCUUCUAAUAAAGUAUCAUUUAAAUUUGAUGGCUUGAAGUACAAAUAACAUUAUUCCAACUCUUCAGUUUAUAUUUUUUUAGACAUCUAUGUAAACUUAUUUGCUUAUGAGAUAUAAUCCUUCUUAUAUAUAAAAAAUUUUUAAAUUUUUUAUUUAUACACAUAUUCAACAUGAGCUCAUAUUCUAUGCAUAUCCUAAAUGUUGAUAACAUAGUAUUUUUAGACCAUUUAAAAUUCUUCUUUAUGUUUAUGAUUUUUCUAUUUUUAAAAAAUUUAUGUAUUUUAAUAUUAUAUAAUUUUUUAAAUUAUGAUUGACUUUUUUUGGGUAAACUACAAAUAUAGUCACUUUUGUUUCACUCAGAUUACAUUUUAGUCACUUAUGUUUGAAAUGUUAUGUUUUAGUCACUUGCGUAUCGUUUUGUUACAAAGUGGUCACUCUACCAUUAAGCUUUGUUACCUCCCUAACGGCAAUCCUACGUGGCAGUCCAAAUGGGUUUUAAAUGCCAACUUGGAUGUCUAAUUGGUACAACAAUAGGUUUUUAAUUAAAUAAAUUUAAUUAAUUAAAAAUUUUAAAUUAAUUACAUGUUGAACUGGAAAAGAAAAAUCAUUCAUCUCUUUUUUCUUUUUAGUUUUCCUUUUCAUUUUAACUGAAAAAAUUAUUCUCAUCCUAGUUGGAAAUCCAAGUUGUCAUUUGAAACCCAUUUGGAUUGCCACGUAGGAUUGUCACUAGGGAGAUAACGGAACUUAACUGAAGAGUUCGUAACAAAACGAUAAUGUAAGUGGCUAAAACGUAGCAUUUCAAACAUAAAUGACUAAAAUAUAAUUUGCGGCAAAUAAAAGUGACUAUUUUUAUAGUUUACUUUUUUUUGAAUUUUAGAGUUUAGGUUCAUUUGUGAACUCUUUCUUGGAAUCUUCGUGGAGAGAACAUUUAUCAUCCCCCAAUUUCCACACCUACGAGCUUGAGGGCAAUGAGGUUGUUGUUUUGGGAGGUUCAAAGGUGAGGGGGAGCUGUUUGGGAUGGCGGUCGGUAAUGGAAGAUGAGAGUGAUGAAGCCCGGGUGUAUUGGUGAUGUUGGUGGUGAAGAUGGGAGCCUCG
This 7581-nucleotide long non-coding RNA is filed under the name Gossypium raimondii (Peruvian cotton). RNAcentral describes it as "long non-coding RNA (GRAI_LNC005969)". Lineage: Eukaryota; Viridiplantae; Streptophyta; Magnoliopsida; Malvales; Malvaceae. The record is from RNAcentral.